GCCAGGUGUGGUGGUGCACACCUGUAGUCCCAGCUACUUGGGAGGCUGAGGUGGGAGGAUUGCUUGAACCCAGGAGGUUGAGGCUGCUGUGAGCCAUGAUUGCACCACUGCACUCCAGCCUGGGUGACGGAGUAAGAACCUGUCUCAG
Unclassified non-coding RNA from Papio anubis (olive baboon), 148 nucleotides. It matches the Rfam family "Metazoan signal recognition particle RNA". From Rfam's summary of the family: The signal recognition particle (SRP) is a universally conserved ribonucleoprotein. NCBI's taxonomy places the organism in Eukaryota, Metazoa, Chordata, Mammalia, Primates, Cercopithecidae. The record is from Ensembl.